RNAcentral lists this ribosomal RNA (459 nucleotides) under uncultured bacterium. RNAcentral's name for it is "partial 16S ribosomal RNA". It matches the Rfam family "Bacterial small subunit ribosomal RNA", at positions 338 to 795 of the family's 1533-position model. The record is from RNAcentral.
CCUACGGGGGGCAGCAGUGAGGAAUAUUGGUCAAUGGUCGGGAGACUGAACCAGCCAAGCCGCGUGAGGGAUGAAGGUACAGCGUAUCGUAAACCUCUUUUGUCAGGGAACAAAGGCGGGGACGUGUCCCCGGAUGAGUGUACCUGAAGAAAAAGCAUCGGCUAACUCCGUGCCGGCGGCCGCGUUAAUAGGGAGGAGGCGAGGGUUAUCCGGAUUUAUUGGGUUAAAAGGGUGCGCAGUCGGUCUUUUAUGUCUGCGUUCAAAGCCCGGGGCCCAACCCCGGGCCGCCGUUGAAACUGGCAGUCUCGAGUGGGAGAGAAGUAGGCGGAAUGCGCGGUGUAGCGGUGAAAUGCAUAGAUAUCGCGCAGAACUCCGAUUGCGAAGGCAGCAUGCCGGCUCCACACUGACGCUGAGGCACGAAAGCGUGGGUAUCGAACAGGAUUAGAUACCCCGGUAGUC